RNAcentral lists this unclassified non-coding RNA (794 nucleotides) under uncultured bacterium. Its description in RNAcentral is "partial contains 16S ribosomal RNA, 16S-23S ribosomal RNA intergenic spacer, and 23S ribosomal RNA". The stretch from base 659 to 794 matches the Rfam family "Bacterial large subunit ribosomal RNA", at positions 1 to 135 of the family's 2925-position model. The record is from RNAcentral.
GCUGGAUCCCCUCCUUUCUAAGGAUUCCAGGGAUUGGACUUUAAGUUCUCCCAGGAUCUGCAGACAAAGCUCCGCAAGUCAGCGGAGCAUCAAUAAUGCGGCGGCCGCGCCGUCUCCGUUUCUCUUCCUUGUCGAACGCGCGGGCUUUUGCUUGGGCGUUCAAUGCGAACCCUGCGGGCGCUUGGCGUCCGCCUGUCCGCGUCUUACGCCGCGCUCGCGGUGUUUGGGCCGGUAGCUCAGGUGGUUAGAGCGCACGCCUGAUAAGCGUGAGGUCGGAGGUUCAAGUCCUCCUCGGCCCACCAGACGCUGGUCAAUGCAAGGGUAAGACGGAUCGGGGCCUUAGCUCAGUUGGGAGAGCGCUAGCUUUGCAAGCUUGAGGUCGUCGGUUCGAUCCCGACAGGCUCCACCAGGUCUGAAUAGGUCGUUCGCAACAAGGAAACGCCGGUUUCCGAUUUCGCGUCAGCGAGAUUGGGAUGUUUGUACAUCGUGAGGGAGGAUCAGUCCGCCGCCCGGCCGUUCGGCCGGCGCGUGGUCUUAGCCGACAGCGCCGCGUCACAGCGCGGCGAUUUCAGGGCUGAUCUGCAAGAAACCAACAUGUCUGAUCAUGAGAUCCGUGCACGGGUGGUGCGUUCACCACCGCGCAUGGGUUUCACUGAGUGAUCAAGCGUCAAAAGGGCAUCCGGGGGAUGUCUUGGCGGUAAGAGGCGAUGAAGGACGUGGCACUCUGCGAUAAGCGCCGGGGAGGCGAGAGCACCCUUUGAUCCGGCGAUUUCCGAAUGGGGAAACCCGGAAGC